GCCAAUUAAAACGUCAUACAUAUAGCUUUCAGACAGUAACCAGUAUCUAAUUUAUCUAUUUAUUUAGUUUUUGAAAUGUUUUUAAUGUCGGCAAAAUUCCUAAAGCUGCAUAUUCUGAAAUACGAAACACAUGAACAUGUAUAUAUAUAUGGACACCUGAAUACUUAAAUCUGAAUUGACAUCUAAUAGAACAUUGAACAACACCCACACAAAUGAAUAAAUUUUUUGUAAAAUGGAAGCAUCAAAUUUCAACAACAAAUAAUGACAAAAGUAUAUAAACAUAAUACGUAUUCGAAUGUCGCAUCCAAACAAAGCCUUGGUUAAAGGGACACAUGACCAGCUUUAAGUAUCUAUCCAUUUGGUCCAUACAUGGCAACACAAAUGUUGCAGAAGGAUGGAUGGCGUUAUUUGUGAAAGAGCAAAGUUGGGAGGCCCAAGACAUAUGAGUUCUCAGGCAAUGUCACAUUCCAGCCACCUAAUGGGAAAGAGAGAUAAGGAACAACAAGAUAGCGACCCUUCCAUUCUCUAGCUUCCUUUCCUUCCUUGUGCCACAACAGACAAUUCAACAACGCAGCUGCUAGAGAGAGAGAGAGAGAGAGAGAGAGAGAGAGAGAAAGAGAGAUCAAUUAUAAUAUGAAGACACCAAGCCUAU
This 652-nucleotide long non-coding RNA is filed under the name Prunus persica (peach). RNAcentral's name for it is "long non-coding RNA (PPER_LNC007308)". Lineage: Eukaryota; Viridiplantae; Streptophyta; Magnoliopsida; Rosales; Rosaceae. The record is from RNAcentral.